GACGAACGCUGGCGGCGUGCUUAACACAUGCAAGUCGAACGGAAAGGCCCUGCUUUUGUGGGGUGCUCGAGUGGCGAACGGGUGAGUAACACGUGAGUAACCUGCCCUUGACUUUGGGAUAACUUCAGGAAACUGGGGCUAAUACCGGAUAGGAGCUCCUGCUGCAUGGUGGGGGUUGGAAAGUUUCGGCGGUUGGGGAUGGACUCGCGGCUUAUCAGCUUGUUGGUGGGGUAGUGGCUUACCAAGGCUUUGACGGGUAGCCGGCCUGAGAGGGUGAUCGGCCACAUUGGGACUGAGAUACGGCCCAGACUCCUACGGGAGGCAGCAGUGGGGAAUAUUGCACAAUGGGCGGAAGCCUGAUGCAGCAACGCCGCGUGCGGGAUGACGGCCUUCGGGUUGUAAACCGCUUUCGCCUGUGACGAAGCGUGAGUGACGGUAAUGGGUAAAGAAGCACCGGCUAACUACGUGCCAGCAGCCGCGGUGAUACGUAGGGUGCGAGCGUUGUCCGGAUUUAUUGGGCGUAAAGGGCUCGUAGGUGGUUGAUCGCGUCGGAAGUGUAAUCUUGGGGCUUAACCCUGAGCGUGCUUUCGAUACGGGUUGACUUGAGGAAGGUAGGGGAGAAUGGAAUUCCUGGUGGAGCGGUGGAAUGCGCAGAUAUCAGGAGGAACACCAGUGGCGAAGGCGGUUCUCUGGGCCUUUCCUGACGCUGAGGAGCGAAAGCGUGGGGAGCGAACAGGCUUAGAUACCCUGGUAGUCCACGCUGUAAACGGUGGGUACUAGGUGUGGGGUCCAUUCCACGGGUUCCGUGCCGUAGCUAACGCUUUAAGUACCCCGCCUGGGGAGUACGGCCGCAAGGCUAAAACUCAAAGGAAUUGACGGGGCCCCGCACAAGCGGCGGAGCAUGCGGAUUAAUUCGAUGCAACGCGUGGAACCUUACCUGGGUUUGACAUGGAUCGGGAGUGCUCAGAGAUGGGUGUGCCUCUUUUGGGGUCGGUUCACAGGUGGUGCAUGCCUGUCGUCAGCUCGUGUCGUGAGAUGUUGGGUUAAGUCCCGCAACGAGCGCAACCCUUGUUCACUGUUGCCAGCACGUUAUGGUGGGGACUCAGUGGAGACCGCCGGGGUCAACUCGGAGGAAGGUGGGGAUGACGUCAAGUCCUCAUGCCCCUUAUGUCCAGGGCUUCACGCAUGCUACAAUGGCUGGUACAGAGAGUGGCGAGCCUGUGAGGGUGAGCGAAUCUCGGAAAGCCGGUCUCAGUUCGGAUUGGGGUCUGCAACUCGACCUCAUGAAGUCGGAGUCGCUAGUAAUCGCAGAUCAGCAACGCUGCGGUGAAUACAGGCCCGGGGCU
This 1346-nucleotide ribosomal RNA is filed under the name uncultured bacterium. RNAcentral's name for it is "bacterial SSU rRNA". It matches the Rfam family "Bacterial small subunit ribosomal RNA", at positions 28 to 1381 of the family's 1533-position model. The record is from RNAcentral.